This 400-nucleotide ribosomal RNA is filed under the name uncultured bacterium. RNAcentral describes it as "bacterial SSU rRNA". It matches the Rfam family "Bacterial small subunit ribosomal RNA", at positions 359 to 776 of the family's 1533-position model. The record is from RNAcentral.
GAAUAUUGGACAAUGGGCGAAAGCCUGAUCCAGCCAUGCCGCGUGAGUGAAGAAGGCCCUAGGGUUGUAAAGCUCUUUCGCACGCGACGAUGAUGACGGUAGCGUGAGAAGAAGCCCCGGCUAACUUCGUGCCAGCAGCCGCGGUAAUACGAAGGGGGCAAGCGUUGUUCGGAUUUACUGGGCGUAAAGGGCGCGUAGGCGGAUUUGCAAGUCAGAGGUGAAAGCCCUGGGCUCAACCCGGGAAUGGCCUUUGAGACUGCAAGUCUUGAGUGCGAGAGAGGGUGGCGGAAUACCCAGUGUAGAGGUGAAAUUCGUAGAUAUUGGGUAGAACACCGGUGGCGAAGGCGGCCACCUGGCUCGCAACUGACGCUGAGGCGCGAAAGCGUGGGGAGCAAACAGG